RNAcentral lists this ribosomal RNA (494 nucleotides) under uncultured bacterium. Its description in RNAcentral is "bacterial SSU rRNA". It matches the Rfam family "Bacterial small subunit ribosomal RNA", at positions 903 to 1397 of the family's 1533-position model. The record is from RNAcentral.
AAAUGAAUAGACGGGGGCCCGCACAAGCAGUGGAGCAUGUGGUUUAAUUCGAAGCAACGCGAAGAACCUUACCAGCCCUUGACAUGGUCGGACGGUUUCCAGAGAUGGAUUCCUUCACUUCGGUGACUGACACACAGGUGCUGCAUGGCUGUCGUCAGCUCGUGUCGUGAGAUGUUGGGUUAAGUCCCGCAACGAGCGCAACCCUCGCCUUUAGUUGCCAUCAUUUAGUUGGGCACUCUAGAGGGACUGCCGGUGAUAAGCCGGAGGAAGGUGGGGAUGACGUCAAGUCUUCAUGGCCCUUACGGGCUGGGCUACACACGUGCUACAAUGGUGGUGACAGAGGGCAGCUAGACCGCGAGGUCAUGCUAAUCCCUAAAAGCCAUCUCAGUUCGGAUUGCACUCUGCAACUCGAGUGCAUGAAGUUGGAAUUGCUAGUAAUCGCAGAUCAGCACGCUGCGGUGAAUACGUUCCCGGGCCUUGUACACACCGCCCGU